Long non-coding RNA from Brachypodium distachyon (stiff brome), 2154 nucleotides. RefSeq lists it as uncharacterized. The record is from RefSeq and is a predicted model, not a curated record. The transcript has 2 exons. NCBI's taxonomy places the organism in Eukaryota, Viridiplantae, Streptophyta, Magnoliopsida, Poales, Poaceae.
GAUACCCCCUCUGCUUUACUUUUUUUUUUUUUGAAAAAUCCUCUGCUUUACCUGGGCUUCUGCUUGGGCCUGCGCCCGGAAGAACCACAGUAGAAGAGCGCCCUCCCGUGCCGCUCGUCGACGGUGAAGUGUCACCCGAGAACUGUGUGACGCCUGGGCUCUCCGGCUGCCCCGGAAGUUGGGCCAUCUUAUCUGCCUCCUGCUCUUCGCCUGUGCUGCUGGCCGGCAGCGAGCAGGCGAUGGCACGGAGGAGGAGGAGAGCGAAGACGAGCCUCGCUGCCAUUGAUCUUGCCAUGUGGCUGAAGAGAGGAGAGGGUUUGGAUCCACGAUUUACUUUUUGCAGAUAUCAAUUUUGCUUGGUUCCCUUUAGGAAUUGCUACAUGACAUGAUGUUGUAUUCUCAGGUUUUACUCUGAUUUGUUUGCUAGGUGCUCGAUGAAAUUCCCACCCAAGGAGUUUUUGUUCUGUUUGCCAGGGGUGCAAGGUGGAAUUGAUUUGAAAAAGAUGCACUUUCCAGCCUUUUUUACGUUAUAUAUGUUUGGUUGGAUGUUAUUUAUACCGGUUUAUUUCAUAGACUAGAACUAGAAUGGGGAUUAUAUCUUUAGGACCAUUGAGUAUUCACUUCACAAUAGGUACUCCUAGUAAACUAAUAAAGGGUAAAUGCUGGUUUUCCUGGCAUUUGACAUGCAAGGAAAAUUCUUACUAUGUGUGCAAAAUGACUGGAUAUUCCAAAUUUAGCGUUUCAUAGUGACAUCCUGUCAUCAUGAAGUGUCCAUCAUGUUUUUUCUGUUUUCUUUUUCUCGAACCGCACCAAGUGUGUGUCAUUUUCAUUACAAAGCAGAUAUUCCAAAUUCUUACUAUGUGUGCAAAAGCAAGGCAAAACAAGAAGGCUGAAAACAAGAAAAGAGACAACUGUACGCUAGCUAAUUAGCAAGUAGUCAGGAGGCCUGCAAUGAUGCGGCAGCCUACGAAGGUCCUUCGCACCAGCGACCAUCCAAAGCCGGAUCUCCGUGAAGAUCUCAGUUCAACAAGUGAUGAGAUGUCGAGAGAGGUGGCAUUGAAAACACAGUCAUCGCGGAGUUUCCACAAGUGCCACAAGGUCAGGAUGAUAAGGGAGCGGGUGCAUUUGACCUUGGAAGAGCUGGUGCUCCGCCGCCUCCGCAAACCAGGAACGGAAAGAGUCCCCUGGUUGCGGGCAGAGCUGCUGAAGGUCAAAGCAUGAGAGCACCUGAUGUCAAACAUCGCUUUUUUCUGUUAUUUCAUUAUAGUCUUUAUCCAGUCAGCAUGUUAGAACAAGCUUAUGUUUUCUUCUCUUUGUCUUUCGCCUCAUCUUUUUGUCUUAACAACCAUGAUUCAAAAAUUAAGCUAUGCUGUCAGCCUACGUGAUUCUUUGAAACUGAAAAGAAAACAUUUGCAAAUCCUCCUAGUACACUUUAUUGCCCAUUGCUGGUUUUGAGAGCAAGAAGAACAUUUACUUCCAGUAAAUAGAAAUGAACUUUGCUGGCAUUUUGUUGAACUUGCUGGGAGCUUUACUUGUGAUCGUGGGUGCUUAAUUUUUUUUAAUUUUGCAGGAGUAUUAGGAGAUGUUCAAAGGAGGAAUGGAAGUACAGAAUGAACUAUCCACAAAGAUGGCGCCUUCAUUAUGCAUAUAAAAUUGAGGAAGUGACAAAAUCGCAAGUUAAUAUUCUUGCGUCCUUUUCUUGAUCUUGAUCCACCCGUCCUGUUUCGAUCAUUCAGUUAAAUGCAUGCAAGUUGAGAAAGCAAGGACCUGCAAUCACCUUAUCCAAACGACAGACCAGAUAAACCUGGCGACCUCACGUCCAAGUGAACGCCAUGGACGACAGCCAGCCAGAGCAGUACGUCCGUCGCAUCAUAUGAGGCCAUGGGAAGACCAAGUAGAUGCAUUUGGCUGCACGUACGUCUGCAUGUAUACAUUUCGUUAAUGCUCAUAUGUAUGGUCCUUGAGAUUAAUAAUGUACAUAAACAAGAAGGUGACACCUGACCAAAAUCAGCAAGGGUGGGUGUCCAAAUAUGGUCCUCUUGUAUAAGUGAUGCAUAAUGCACGCUGUGUUAAUUGGAAUGCCAGAUAGAUAGUGUGUGCAAAACUUGGAAUACAAUGUCCUUCUCAGGAAUGACCAUAUGUAUUUUUUGCCAC